AGAGUUUGAUCAUGGCUCAGAGUGAACGCUGGCGGCGUGCCUAACACAUGCAAGUCGAACGAGAACGGAUUACAGCUUGCUGUAAUUGUCAGCUAAGUGGCGCACGGGUGAGUAAUAUAUAGUUAAUCUGCCCCAAAGAAGAGAAUAAUUGUUGGAAACGACUUGUAACGCUCUAUAUGCCUUUAUUACAUAAGUAAGCAAGGGAAACAUUUAUGGCUUUGGGAUGAGACUGUACGGUAUCAGCUAGUUGGUGAGGUAAUGGCUCACCAAGGCUAUGACAUCUAACUGGUUUGAGAGGAUGAUCAGUCACACUGGAACUGAGACACGGUCCAGACUCCUACGGGAGGCAGCAGUGGGGAAUAUUGCACAAUGGAGGAAACUCUGAUGCAGCAACGCCGCGUGGAGGAUGACACAUUUCGGUGCGUAAACUCCUUUUAUUAGGGAAGAUAAUGACGGGACCUAAUGAAUAAGCACCCGCUAACUCCGUGCCAGCAGGCGCGGUAAUUACGGGGGGUGCAAGCGUUACUCGGAAUC
RNAcentral lists this ribosomal RNA (534 nucleotides) under uncultured bacterium. RNAcentral's name for it is "bacterial SSU rRNA". It matches the Rfam family "Bacterial small subunit ribosomal RNA", at positions 8 to 552 of the family's 1533-position model. The record is from RNAcentral.